Non-coding RNA from Arachis ipaensis, 101 nucleotides. The record is from RefSeq and is a predicted model, not a curated record. Lineage: Eukaryota; Viridiplantae; Streptophyta; Magnoliopsida; Fabales; Fabaceae.
AAAAUCGCUUAGUCUUUUAUGAUGCUCACUCCAUUGAAGAAAUAGCGACUCCAAUCUUUUUUCUUCUGUCUUAGCAGCCACACCUGCCCUAAAAGUCAAGU